This is a non-coding RNA of Cutaneotrichosporon oleaginosum, 115 nucleotides long. The record is from the annotation of a RefSeq genome assembly. Lineage: Eukaryota; Fungi; Basidiomycota; Tremellomycetes; Trichosporonales; Trichosporonaceae.
UCCUCGCUAGUAUAUCGGUUAGUAUAUUCGCCUCUCAACAGAGAGUCAAGAAGGGCCUGGUCAUGUAGGCCGGGAGUUAUCGCGAAAGAGCAGGGUUCAACUCCCUGGCGGGGAA